UACGUAGGUGGCAAGCGUUGUCCGGAUUUACUGGGCGUAAAGAGCGCGUAGGCGGUCGAGUAAGUCGAAUGUGAAAGCCCCCGGCUCAACUGGGGAGGGUCAUUCGAUACUGAUCGACUCGAAGGCAGGAGAGGGAAGUGGAAUUCCCGGUGUAGUGGUGAAAUGCGUAGAUAUCGGGAGGAACACCAGUGGCGAAGGCGACUUCCUGGCCUGUUCUUGACGCUGAGGCGCGAAAGCUAGGGGAGCAAACGGG
Molecule: ribosomal RNA, 253 nt
Filed under: uncultured bacterium
Lineage: Bacteria
Description: partial 16S ribosomal RNA
Rfam family: Bacterial small subunit ribosomal RNA
Source: RNAcentral